This 316-nucleotide long non-coding RNA is filed under the name Cricetulus griseus (Chinese hamster). RNAcentral describes it as "lncRNA (ENSCGRG00000025663.1)". Lineage: Eukaryota; Metazoa; Chordata; Mammalia; Rodentia; Cricetidae. The record is from RNAcentral.
AUGUUUCCUGUGAUUUCUUUUCCCAACAUUUAAUAUAUUUUCUCUUGUAAUUUUUUUGUAGAAAUUUGAUCAUUAGUGGUCUGGAAGAUAGCAGAGGUACACAGUACUCUCCUGUAUCUCUACUGGAUUGACACUAAGAACACGUGCAGCUAUAUCAUCAACCAAAGUUCCACAUAAAACAUUGAGAUACUACAGUAGAGAGCUGUGACCAGCUUUCAAGAAGAAGGUUUACAGUUUGUACGCUGUGAAGGGGAUCCACCAGAUUCUUCUCCAGACCUGCAUGUACUGUUUCUUCCCUGUUAUUCUAGUUGCCUUA